CAAAUCUUAGCGGUGGAUCACUCGGUUCGUGGAUCGAUGAAGAACGCAGCUAGCUGCGAUAAAUAGUGCGAAUUGCAGACACAUUGAGCACUAAAAUUUCGAACGCACAUUGCGCCAUCGGGUUCAUUCCCGUUGGCACGUCUGGCUGAGGGUCAGA
RNAcentral lists this ribosomal RNA (157 nucleotides) under Toxocara vitulorum. RNAcentral describes it as "partial 5.8S ribosomal RNA". It matches the Rfam family "5.8S ribosomal RNA". Rfam says of the family: 5.8S ribosomal RNA (5.8S rRNA) is a component of the large subunit of the eukaryotic ribosome. It is transcribed by RNA polymerase I as part of the 45S precursor that also contains 18S and 28S rRNA. Lineage: Eukaryota; Metazoa; Nematoda; Chromadorea; Rhabditida; Toxocaridae. The record is from RNAcentral.